Molecule: long non-coding RNA, 532 nt
Organism: Bos taurus (domestic cattle)
Lineage: Eukaryota; Metazoa; Chordata; Mammalia; Artiodactyla; Bovidae
Source: Ensembl
GUCCUAGCUAUCCUUCUAGACAACCUAUUUCCCACCUCCUCUGGGGACCUCUGAGGGUUAACUUUAUGUAUAAAUGUGAUACGGCUAAAGGAUGCCCAGAUUGCUCAUGAAAUAUUAUUUCAGGGUGUUUCCAGAAGAGGUUAGCUUUGGAAUUGGAGACUGAGUGGAGAAUAUGCCUCACCAAUCCACUGGGACAUCCAUCUCCGCCUGCCCUUGGACACAGAUGCUCCUGGUUCUCAGGCUUCAGGGUUUGGACUGGAACGUCACUGCUGGAUUUCCUGGGCCUCUGACUUGCAGGUGGCAGAUUGUGGGACCUCUCAGCCUCCACAAUUGCAUCAGCUGGAGCCAUCCCAGAAGACCUGACAGAGUUCCCAACAGCUGGGGCAACGAGUCCUUCAGAAGGAGGAUCUGGUGCUGCAGUGCCCUGACCCCACGAUUUGACUCAUGGCUCUCACCUCCCCCACCUGCUCCAAGCACAGUCCCUGGAGAGAAGGAAACAUAGAGACUGAGCCAACCCUGUAUCCUUUGCUUC